UAUUGGGCGUAAGCGCGCGCAGGUGGUUUCUUAAGUCUGAUGUGAAAGCCCACCCCUCAACCGUGGAGGGUCAUUGGAAACUGGGAGACUUGAGUGCCUAAGAGGAAAGUGGAAUUCCAUGUGUAGCGGUGAAAUGCGUAGAGAUAUGGAGGAACACCAGUGGCGAAGGCGACCUUCUGGUCUGUAACUGACACUGAGGCGCGAAAGCGUGGGGAGCAAACAGGAUUACAUACCCUGGUAGUCCACGCCGUAUGCGAUGAGUGCUAAGUGUUA
This 273-nucleotide ribosomal RNA is filed under the name Geobacillus stearothermophilus. RNAcentral's name for it is "partial 16S ribosomal RNA". It matches the Rfam family "Bacterial small subunit ribosomal RNA", at positions 552 to 825 of the family's 1533-position model. The record is from RNAcentral. Lineage: Bacteria; Bacillati; Bacillota; Bacilli; Caryophanales; Anoxybacillaceae.